RNAcentral lists this transfer RNA (78 nucleotides) under Alphaproteobacteria bacterium. Its description in RNAcentral is "tRNA-Arg". It matches the Rfam family "tRNA". From Rfam's summary of the family: Transfer RNA (tRNA) molecules are approximately 80 nucleotides in length. Their secondary structure includes four short double-helical elements and three loops (D, anti-codon, and T loops). RNAcentral also lists the same sequence under 1 other name. Lineage: Bacteria; Pseudomonadati; Pseudomonadota; Alphaproteobacteria. The record is from RNAcentral.
GCGCCCGUAGCUCAAUUGGAUUAGAGCGCUUGACUACGGAUCAGGAGGUUAGGGGUUCGACUCCUCUCGGGCGCGCCA